This is a long non-coding RNA of Manis javanica (Malayan pangolin), 209 nucleotides long. RefSeq lists it as uncharacterized. Lineage: Eukaryota; Metazoa; Chordata; Mammalia; Pholidota; Manidae. The record is from RefSeq and is a predicted model, not a curated record.
GGGAACUGCUGGACAAUGAACUCCAGAAAAACAAGAAAACGGAAGGCACACAAUCAAAACACUUUCCAGAACCCAUGUAGAAUCCAUUCAUCAGAAUCUCCAAGUGAGGAAGGAUCCAUGUAAUAAUGACAACUAACCAUGUUUCAAAACAUGACAUGGAACAACAUCUAGAGACCAAAGGACACAGGACAACAUCCAGACCACAUCCA